AUCAGGGGGGUUCCAAGGUUUUUAUUCGUUUAUUAUUGAUCCUCUAAUAUCCAGGACUUAUUUGCAUUUUCAAUUUUCACGUAAAGCAAGUAAUUCGAAUUUUUCUAGGUCAAACUCGUGCCAGCAACCGCGGUUAUACGACUUAAAAUAAAAGACUAAACCAUAAUCUCUUUAUCUUCAUUACUCUUCAUUAAUAAGAUUGUCUGGUGAAAUAAUCUUUCUUAUUUUCUAUAAAGUGUCUCAAGAGAGAUAAACGUAGGACUAAAACUAGGAUUAGAUACCCCACUAUUCUCCCCCCUAAAAGGUAAAUGUCAACCCAUCCCAUUUGGCGGCCUUCUAUCUUAUUAAAGGAACUUGUUGUUUGAUCGAUGGUACGCGAUACUUUUAGCUUAAACCUGAUUUUUAUACCGCCGUCCAAAGGAUAAAAUUAAAUAUUUUAUACGCCCCAUACCACUCAAGCAAAAAUGUCAGGUCAAGGUGAAGUCAAUGUUUAAGUUUCAAUGAGUUAUCAAUAAAAAUAAUUUAUGGACUUUUGUUUAAAAACAAAAAUCGAAUUAAGAUUUAAAAGUAUUUUCAGUUCAAUACACUAAAAAGAAUAAGCAAAAAAGGUGUACAUAUCGCCCGUCGCCCUCGUCCAAAGAUGAGGUAAGUCGUAACACAGUUAAUGUACUGGAAAGUGCAUUAAGCGUAA
This 691-nucleotide ribosomal RNA is filed under the name Calisoga longitarsis. RNAcentral describes it as "12S ribosomal RNA". Lineage: Eukaryota; Metazoa; Arthropoda; Arachnida; Araneae; Nemesiidae. The record is from RNAcentral.